RNAcentral lists this small RNA (28 nucleotides) under Bombyx mori (domestic silkworm). Its description in RNAcentral is "piRNA piR-bmo-1319817". The record is from RNAcentral. Lineage: Eukaryota; Metazoa; Arthropoda; Insecta; Lepidoptera; Bombycidae.
UCGUCUCAGACACACCGGUAGCGACUGC